Molecule: ribosomal RNA, 635 nt
Filed under: Coslenchus paramaritus
Lineage: Eukaryota; Metazoa; Nematoda; Chromadorea; Rhabditida; Tylenchidae
Description: partial 28S ribosomal RNA
Rfam family: Eukaryotic large subunit ribosomal RNA
Source: RNAcentral
AUAAGGUGGAAACGGAUAGAGCCAACGUAUCUGGCUUGCAUUCAGCUGCCGUUCGGGUUCGGACUGGCGAGGCGAUCCUGCUUCUGGUUGUCUUGUUGGUUGCGGAGCCUGAGAGGUAGUGCAUUUGCAGGUGGAGUGCGCUGAGGUGUGCGGAGUAGCGAUUCGAUCAUUGUCUAGAGGACACCUUGUGUGAACCCUGGGCGGUGGGAAAAUUGUUUGCCCUGCACUACCACUAAUGGAGUGGCCUUUGGUGAAUUGGAGUUCGAUCGCGUGGAUUGCUUGUAACGGCCGCAUGCGACGCGUGCUCGUUGUCUAUGUGAUUGGGUUUCGGUUCCCUUCUCCAGUGGAUCUCGGUGUAAAAGUUGGUCAUCUACCCGACCCGUCUUGAAACACGGACCAAGGAGUUUAGCGUAUACGCGAGUCAUUGAGUGUUUAAACUCAAAGGCGCAAUGAAAGUGAAUUUUGAUAUGCGAUCCCGUAUGCCUCGGCGUGCGGGAGCAGCAUAGCCCCGUCCCGAUCGCUUGCGAUGGGGCGGAGGUAGAGCGUAUUCGCUGAGACCCGAAAGAUGGUGAACUAUUCCUGAGCAGGAUGAAGCCAGAGGAAACUCUGGUGGAAGUCCGAAGCGGUUCUGACGU